Molecule: ribosomal RNA, 324 nt
Filed under: Iphinoe serrata
Lineage: Eukaryota; Metazoa; Arthropoda; Malacostraca; Cumacea; Bodotriidae
Description: partial small subunit ribosomal RNA
Source: RNAcentral
GGCGUCACUCAGAUAACUUGGCGGCCCUCAGACCAGAUAAGGGGAGCUUGCCAGGUAAGCGACGAUCCUCGAACAAUCUUACCCGCCAUAGAAUGUCUGUAUACCGUCAUCCAGAGGGCGCUGUUAGGGGUCUUCCCCUGUUACAGAUCUGGGAGGUUAGAUCCAGGUGCAACUUAUGGGCGGGCCGCGGUGAGCUACAGUGCUUAAGGGCACAGUCUAAUAACUGUAACACGAUUAGUAAGGAGGACUUUAGAGUAGCCUAAGGUAGAGUGCCURRGCGACUGGGCCCAUUGAGGGUGCAYAUAUCGCCCGUCGCUCGCGGGA